RNAcentral lists this long non-coding RNA (1284 nucleotides) under Homo sapiens (human). RNAcentral's name for it is "HSALNT0257393". Lineage: Eukaryota; Metazoa; Chordata; Mammalia; Primates; Hominidae. The record is from RNAcentral.
GGAAGAUUGUGACAAUCAUUAGGCCCAGCAACCAGAGCCCACUGGUGAGGUCCUGAAUCACACGUGAAUGCCGUUCACAGUUGGAAUUUUCACUGUCAUAAGUGAACAUCUGGCCACAGUUGGGAUGGUGACUCAUUUCUAAACCCAGCUUGUAGGAAGGUGAGGACUCUCCUAUCUGGACUCAACCAAUUGGAGAGAUGUUGACUGUCAUAUCUGGACGUAGAACCACAGGGAAGACUCUGGAUCUCCUUCCUGUAUGAAGGUCACAGAGGAUCACCAUUCUUGCAUAUUGUAUAAAGCCUUCAGGUGACACAGAGAGUGUCAUAAGAGAACACAGCACACAGGUGGGCUAGUGACUCUCAGACCAAGAUUCAGCACACAUGUGAGGCUGUAACUGCACUGAAAGGACAAGUCUGCAGAAUAAACUGUGGCUGUCUUGCAAAAAUUCUGUCAACCAUUGAGACUGUGACUCACACACUUAGAUCCAACAUCCAAGGCUGGGCGCAGUGGCUCACGCCUGUAAUCCCAGCACUUUGAAAGGCCAACGCAGGCGGAUCACCGGAGGUCAGGAGUUCAAGACCAUCCUGGCCAACAUGGUGAAACCCCCAUCUCUACUAAAAAUACAAAAAUUAGCCGCGCGUGGUGGCAGGCACCUGUAAUCCCAGCUACUCGGGAGGCUGACACAGGAGAAUCGCUUGAACCUGGGAGGCAGAGGUUGCAGUGAGCCGAGAUCACACCAUUGCAUCCCAGCCUGGGGGACAAGAGUGAGACUUCAUCUCAAAAAAACAAAAGCAAAAACAAAAUAGAUAAAUAGAUCCAACAUCCAGGAGGUGUUGACUCUCAUACCUAGAACCUGGACAUGUAUGGAAUUUCUAAUCUCAUUCCUGGACUUUCCUGCAGGUGUGAUUGUGUGCAUCUGCUAAGCACCUUAGUGAUUUGAGUUUCCUGCCUUGACCCAGUCCACAGAUAAGAUUGUGACAUAUCGCUUGACUCUGCACCUUGAAGAUAUGACUUUCUCUUCCAGCCUUGGUGCUGCCCACAGGGUGGAUUAUGACAUACUGCUAAGCCCUGCACUCAGGUUAUGUGACUCUUCUCUUUUGCCCGUGCCCUGAAUAUUUCACAUGUUAGGACAUGUUACUAGGCUGAACACCUAUAAAAUCAGAGGCUCCUGCCUGGGCCCUGUCUAGAGAGGGCCUUGUGACAUAUCUCUUCAUCAAUCACCUAGGAGAUGUGACUCUCCAUUUUUGCCUGCACUCUGCCCACAGGAAAAAUUGUGAAUUGUCA